AUGAACACCAAGCACAAAGUAGCUGCACGCAACAACAUCCUGCAGAAACUGACUGGCAGCGCAUGGGGUGCAGACCCACAAGUAAUAAGAACAUCAGCCCUGGCCUUGUCUUUCUCAACUGCUGAGUACACCUGUCCUGUCUGGCAAAAGUCUGCCCAUGCGAAGCAGGUGGACGUAGCACUAAACGAAACAAGCAGAAUAAUCACAGGAUGCCUUAAACCUACACCUGUUGAUAAACUCUACAAGGAAGUUGCUGCUAACGUGAGAGAAAUAAGGUCGAACAUUGUGAAAGCCAUCCACUGCAUGACUAUCAGCCUCCUCCCACCAGACUCAAAUCAAGGAAGGGCUUCAUGAGAACCACCACUCCUCUCGAUGUUCCUCCAGCAACAGCAAGAGUAUCCCUCUGGACAGCUAAACCUGGCAAUUCUAACUGGAUGGCCCCCCAUGAGGGUCUUCCUCCAGGGGCAAACCAAGAAUGGGCAACUUGGAAGUCCCUGAACAGACUCAGAAGUGGAGUGGGCAGAUCAAAAGACAACUUGGCAAGGUGGCACUACCUGGAGGAAUCCUCCACCUUGUGUGACUGUGGAGCAGAACAAACAACUCCGCAUAUGUAUGCUUGCCCACAAUGUCCUGCCUCAUGUACGGAGGAGGAGUUGUUUAAAGCGGUUGCUCUUGCCCGCUUUUGGUCUAAAACUAUUUAGUUGCUUGUGAUUUCCUUUUCCCCCCCAUCAUUUAAAAAUGUAUUUAUCAUGCAAUGCUUUUGACAUGAAAUAAAUAAACUGGAGUGAAUUACAGGGAGCGGCACACCUCCCUAUUUAAGGAGAUCCAUUGGCUGCCAUUCAUCUUCAGGACCCAAUUCAUGAUGUCAGCAGCAAGAACUGAAUAUGCAAAACAUGCCAACAUCAGAAGAUUGGAUUACAAAAGUUUUUGAGAUGGCCAAAAUGGACAGAUUAACUUUGGCUUUACAACAAGAGAAACAUCUAAAAAAUUCAGAAAGAAUGAAAUCCUUAAGAA
RNAcentral lists this long non-coding RNA (1014 nucleotides) under Anolis carolinensis (green anole). Its description in RNAcentral is "lncRNA (ENSACAG00000035712.1)". Lineage: Eukaryota; Metazoa; Chordata; Lepidosauria; Squamata; Anolidae. The record is from RNAcentral.